AGAACGAUGGAGUAAUAAGUAUUCAAUAUCUCAACACACUGCCCAGUUAGAUAAAUUAAAUUUGAUUUUGAUAAAACUAAGGCUUCAUAUGCAAACAAACAUAGGAAGUCCAAAUUUUGGUUUUAAACCGGCCAUGUCUCUGUUGGGUUCCCAAUUAUGGCACAAAAGACAAAAGUGCAUUUUUGAACUUCCUUACACCUUCAAAACCCUAAAACGCUUCUGCCUUUGCCAACACUGUUGCUGUGAUUUCGCAAAUCUGAGAUGCCUCCUAAAGGAAAAGGAAAUAGGAAGAAGAAAGGGAAAGGUAAAGGGAAUUCCAAAGAAACAAAGUGCAAAGCAACUUCCGACUUGUAUUUCCCAAAAGAAGUCGUCUUUGAUAUCCUCUCUCGUCUCCCUGUGAAGGACCUUUUACAAUUCAGGUGUGUUUGCAAGCAAUGGAACAAGCUCAUUUACAAGCCCAACUUCAUAGCUGCCCAUUUCCGCCGCUCUUCUUCUUUGCAGCGUUCCUGUUCGUCCCUUAUUAUAGGCAGCCGCCAUCAAGAGUCCAAUAAUCAUGUACUCUCACUAUACAACCCGCCUGAUUCACUUGUCGAGCUGGACAGCCCCUUUCCUUGCUUCUUUCCCAAUAUGUACAUUGUGGGUCCUACCAAUGGCAUUGUGUGUCUCUUUAAUCCACCUUGGGGUGAAUUGAUUACCCUUUGGAACCCGGCAAUGAAGCAGUAUAAGAUGGUGCAGCUUUCUGAAAGUUUACCCAUUCAGGGACUGCACUCUUUGGCGUCGGUUGGAGUGGCUUUUAAUUACCAACAAAAUGAUUUGUUGGUCUUGAGAAUCUUUUGUGUCGAGCUACUGUCUCCAGUCCCGAACCACAUUGAAAUGUAUUCUACCAAGACUGGCAGAUGGAAGAAGCUGAAAAAUGAGAUGGUUUUUUAUAUUGGUGAGUUUCUUUGCAAUGCAAUUGUUAAAGGGGUGCCUUAUUGGUUUGUUUGUAUGCCUGAUAAAUUUGGAGUGCGAGCUGUGUUUAUGCGCUUUGAUGUGGGAAAAACAGUAUUUGAGAAGUUACCAUCUAUAGGGCCGCGUAGACAGCAUCAAUUUCUUGUGGACUUGGAGAAUUCUCUUUGUAUGUUAGAUUGGGAUCACAAAGACGAUUGCCGUAUAGAUGUUUGGGUACUAGAUGAUGUAGAUCGUUGGAGUAUGAAAUACAGUGUUGGACCGUUAAUCGGGUUUGAUCGAAUCUUGGGUUGUUUGAGGAAUGGUGACAUUGUAGCUAAGAAUGAUAAAGGAGUGGUAUUCUUGUGUGAUCCCAUAACUAGUUCAAUCAAGGAAAAAUUCAGCCUUGAUACUUCUAAGGUUGGAUCACAUGUGAUUGUUGACUAUUCAGAGAGCCUAUUUCUGUUCGCAGGGAUGCUGCCAGUUAAGAAGCAAGAUGCUCAAGAUAAAUUGGCACGCAAAAAAAUCACAAGGGCUUGCUUAAAGUUCUUGAUGGGACAACCCUCAGAAAUCGUCAUACCCUGAUUGCCACUUUUUAGCUAACCUCAGAGAUGCCACGAAAAACUUUUUGAUGUCUUUUUAGUUGGAAGAUAGCAUGUAUGUAGCUUUUUGGUGAAUUCAUGCUUGCGGCCCCAAUGAGUAGGAGGGCGCGGCGGUCGCUGCAAAACCUUGGGCGCGAGCCCGGGCAGAGCGGUUCUUCAAAAAAAAAAAAGUUGAUCGUCUUCUUCAAUCUCUGGCCAAUUCUUUACAGCAAACAAAAGAUGGCGCCAAAAGGAAAAGGAAAGAAGAAAGGGAAAGGAAACUCCAAGACAACAGACAACAGAGCUCAAGAACCAACACCCAACUGCAUUUUUAAGCCUGAAAUCAUCUCUAACAUCCUCUCUUGGCUUCCUCUGAAGACCCUUUUACAAUUCAGGUCUGUUUGCAAGCAAUGGAACAAGCUCAUUUCUAAGCCUCAUUUCAUCGCCACCCAUUACAUCCAUUCCUCUUCUUUGCAGCGCACUGAUUCAUCCACGAUUAUUAUACAGUCCCGACAUGAUGGAAAGUUCAAUCAUAAUGUACUCGUACAGUACAAACCCCCUCUACCACCUAUGGAAGUGAAAAAUCCUUACCCUAUCAUCUUACCCAAAAUGUCCAUUGCCGGUCCUGUCAAUGCAUUCUCUGCAUUUUUCAGCCACCUGUGGGCGAUGCGCUUACACUUUGGAAUCCAUCAAUGAACAAGUCUAAGAUGGUCAUGCUUUCUAAAACUACCAACCCCUCUCAGAAAGUAUCGGUUGGAUUGGCGUUUGAUUCACAGAAAAAGGAUUUGUUGAUCUUGAAAAUCUUUUGUGUCCCCCCAUUUCCAGGAUGUACCAAAACCAAAGUGGAAUUCGAAAUACGUGAAAUGAAGUAUCCUUUAGGAUGGGAGACGCUGAAAAGUAGAACAAACUAUUUUUAUAUUGACAGGCCUUCUUGUGAUGCGAUCUUUAAAGCAGAGCCUUAUUGGUUGGCUUAUGAUUAUGAAGAGUAUAUUCCCGGAAAGUAUGAGAGGUUGGUGCGCUUUAAAGUGAGUAAAAUGGAUUUUGAUGAAUGGUUGCUACUGCCAUUUGUCGGAGUAGGGGAUUAUUAUACGAAUCUGGCGAAUUUUGAGGAUUCUCUUGGUUUUUUGAUCCGGGAGAAAACAGACAAUUCCUAUAUUGAUGUUUGGGAAGUGGAUGAUAAAAAAUUUCAAUGGAGGAAGAAAUGUAAGCUACGACCAUUAUCCGGGUUUGGCAGAAUUUUGGGCUGUUUGAGGAAUGGUGAAAUUAUAGCCGAGAAUGAAGACGGUGUGUUGUUGUUUUACACAGUGAAUAAAUCAGAAUUGGUAGUUCAGAAUGAUGAGAACCUUUAUCCUUGCUCAGUUAAGAACACAUUAACAAUGGGGAAUUCUGAGAAAGGAUCACAUGUGAUUUCUUACUGCCCAGAGGUACUACUUUUGAUCGAAGGGAUGGUCACAGUUGAUCCGCAAGAUGUCUUGAAAUGGCAAAGUCUGUUAAGUUAUUCAUUUGAAGACAUCGUGGAUGGUAGAGCUACUCCUUGAAUGCGCCCUAUUUCCUCCCUCCUUACUGAUGACUGGAUGUUGUUCGCAAAGAAACAAGCUUUCUUGCAUGACUUUAGCACGAGCGAAGACUUCAUGAGGGCGCUGUGACAACUCUCAGUAUUCGCUUCAUAACAUCCGUCUUUUGUUCUCUUUUCGAGUAAUUUCUGACCUUCUACUUGUUUGCACAUGUGAAUUCUCUGGUCUGACUAUGAUCAAAGACAUUUUGUUCAUAUGAAUCAUGUAAGCAAUUGUUGUAUCAAACAUCUAGAACUUGCCAAGUUUACAGCUGUGAAAUUGUAAUUGUAGUCCUAAGGAGCAGUCAGUAAGAAGUUUACACUGAUGCUUUGCAACUUGUGAUCAAUAAGUUUGAGUCCUUAAACUGCUGUUA
Molecule: RNA transcript, 3434 nt
Organism: Capsicum annuum
Lineage: Eukaryota; Viridiplantae; Streptophyta; Magnoliopsida; Solanales; Solanaceae
Gene name: putative F-box/LRR-repeat/kelch-repeat protein At1g11620
Exons: 5
Source: RefSeq, a predicted model, not a curated record